AAGUUUUCAUCACAUUUUUGAAUAUAUGUAAUUAAAAAUUUUCGCCUGAUAUAUAUAUGUUUUUGUAUCCAUGGUUAAAACAUUCUCUAAAUAAAAUUUUAAGAAUUAACUCAUAAAAUAUUUAAAUGUUACAAAUUAUAGAGUUACAUGUCUUAGUGGAGUUAUAACACUAACGAGUUUACAAAAUCAAAACUCAUAAAAUUAUAGAGUUUAGGCAAAAAAAAAAAAAAAAUCUAAUAUGUAAAUGGGUCCGUGGGGCGGGUCUGGGUCUAGCAUAUGUGGACCCGGACCCAGACCCGACCCAUGCUCUUUGGGACCCAGACCCGACCCGGACCCAUUGGGUCUAAAGUUUCAGGACCCAGACCCUUAUAAAUAGGUCGGGUCCUAGCGGGUCUGGGUUGGGUCCAGGACCCAUUGCCAUCCCUAAUCAUUGCAUUGAAGAUAUUCUUCUCACAGCUCCUCAUAUCGCCUUGUACACAAUCAGCAUGUAUCAAAAUCAAUGGGUUCAACAUCCUUCUUCCUCUCUUUUGUUCUUUAGAUUUUUCUCUUUUAAAAUUUCCUAAUUCCUUUCUAUUAAGUUCCAUUAAUUACAGAACUGCAAGGAUGUUCAAGCUUCACUCUUUGUUGUUAAAAGCAACACUAAGGAGACACUAUACGUGAAGCCUAGAGUAUAUGCAGGCUGCAUGAAGCACGGUAGAUUCUUGCUAAAAGAAAAAACAAAUACAAGGUUUAAGAUUGCAAGCGGGUUGUUAGUUGGUGCAUCGUCUGAAUUGGUCGAGUAGGGAGAAAGGGAGCCUUUGGUUUGCUCUGCUUUGGACCUUUUGGUUAUGGAACAAAAGCACUUGUAACACAUAUCUUGUGUGACU
Long non-coding RNA from Beta vulgaris subsp. vulgaris (sugar beet), 866 nucleotides. RefSeq lists it as uncharacterized. The transcript is spliced from 3 exons. The record is from RefSeq and is a predicted model, not a curated record. NCBI's taxonomy places the organism in Eukaryota, Viridiplantae, Streptophyta, Magnoliopsida, Caryophyllales, Amaranthaceae.